This 635-nucleotide long non-coding RNA is filed under the name Pan troglodytes (chimpanzee). RNAcentral's name for it is "long non-coding RNA NONPTRT003868". The record is from RNAcentral. Lineage: Eukaryota; Metazoa; Chordata; Mammalia; Primates; Hominidae.
UCCAGCUGUGCUCCGAACCUCAAGGGCAACAAAACUAUCAGUACCUGCCUCCACUCCUUCUGUCUGGGUGCUCUUGAGAUCGCGGGGUGUUGCCGCAAGACCCUUUUGUGCCUGGAUGCCGGACGUAUGUUCCUACCUAACGUGCCCAUGGGGAGUGAGGGGUCAUCACCUGCACCAACGGGUGGCAUUUCUGUAUUACAGCAAAAGGCUGUCCCUCCCAAACCUGGGAUUCUGGGCUCACUGAGUUCACCUGCGAGUCAGCCCUACCUGCUCUGCUCUGGUCUAGUACAAACAGGCUGCUGGCAUUGAGGGACGGAGUCUCCAACUCCUGGCCUCUAGCAGUCCUCCUGUGUAGGUCUCCCAAAGUGCUAGUGUGUCCGGAAUUGGUGGGUUCUUGGUCUCACUGACUUCAAGAAUGAAGCCGCGGACCCUCGCAGUGAGUGUUACAGUUCUUAAAGGCAGCGUGUCCGGAGUUUGUUCCUUCUGAUGUUCAGAUGUGUUCGGAGUUUCUUCCUUCUGGUGGGUUCGUGGUCUUGCUGGCUCAGGAGUGAAGCUGCAGACCUUCACAGUGAGUAUUACAGCUCAUAAAGGCAGUGUGGACCCGAACAGUGAGCAGCAGCAAGAUUCAUUGUAAA